GAUGAACGCUGGCGGCGUGCCUAAUACAUGCAAGUCGAGCGAACAGACGAGGAGCUUGCUCCUCUGACGUUAGCGGCGGACGGGUGAGUAACACGUGGAUAACCUACCUAUAAGACUGGGAUAACUUCGGGAAACCGGAGCUAAUACCGGAUAAUAUAUUGAACCUCAUGGUUCAAUAGUGAAAGACGGUUUUGCUGUCACUUAUAGAUGGAUCCGCGCCGCAUUAGCUAGUUGGUAAGGUAACGGCUUACCAAGGCAACGAUGCGUAGCCGACCUGAGAGGGUGAUCGGCCAAACGGGAACUGAGACACGGUCCAGACUCCUACGGGAGGCAGCAGUAGGGAAUCUUCCGCAAAGGGCGAAAGCUUGACGGAGCAACGCCGCGUGAGUGAUGAAGGUCUUCGGAUCGUAAAACUCUGUUAUUAGGGAAGAACAAAUGUGUAAGUAACUAUGCACGUCUUGACGGUACCCAAUCAGAAAGCCACGGCUAACUACGUG
RNAcentral lists this ribosomal RNA (497 nucleotides) under uncultured bacterium. Its description in RNAcentral is "partial 16S ribosomal RNA". It matches the Rfam family "Bacterial small subunit ribosomal RNA", at positions 28 to 507 of the family's 1533-position model. The record is from RNAcentral.